Molecule: ribosomal RNA, 114 nt
Filed under: Aromatoleum tolulyticum
Lineage: Bacteria; Pseudomonadati; Pseudomonadota; Betaproteobacteria; Rhodocyclales; Rhodocyclaceae
Also listed under: 1 other name
Source: RNAcentral
UCUGACGACCAUAGCGUCCUGGAACCACUCCUUCCCAUCCCGAACAGGACAGUGAAACAGGUCCGCGCCGAUGAUAGUGCUCUUCGUGAGUGCGAAAGUAGGUCAUCGUCAGAC